UACGUAGGGUGCGAGCGUUGUCCGGAAUUAUUGGGCGUAAAGAGCUCGUAGGCGGUUUGUCGCGUCUGCUGUGAAAGACCGGGGCUUAACUUCGGUUUUGCAGUGGAUACGGGCAUGCUUGAGGUAGGUAGGGGAGACUGGAAUUCCUGGUGUAGCGGUGAAAUGCGCAGAUAUCAGGAGGAACACCGAUGGCGAAGGCAGGUCUCUGGGCCACUACUGACGCUGAGAAGCGAAAGCAUGGGGAGCGAACAGGAUUAGAU
Molecule: ribosomal RNA, 260 nt
Filed under: uncultured prokaryote
Description: partial 16S ribosomal RNA
Rfam family: Bacterial small subunit ribosomal RNA
Source: RNAcentral